AGUGAACGCUGGCGGUAGGCCUAACACAUGCAAGUCGAACGGCGGCACAGGAGAGCUUGCUCUCUGGGUGGCGAGUGGCGGACGGGUGAGGAAUACAUCGGAAUCUACUUUUUCGUGGGGGAUAACGUAGGGAAACUUACGCUAAUACCGCAUACGACCUACGGGUGAAAGCAGGGGAUCUUCGGACCUUGCGCGAUUGAAUGAGCCGAUGUCGGAUUAGCUAGUUGGCGGGGUAAAGGCCCACCAAGGCGACGAUCCGUAGCUGGUCUGAGAGGAUGAUCAGCCACACUGGAACUGAGACACGGUCCAGACUCCUACGGGAGGCAGCAGUGGGGAAUAUGGGACAAUGGGCGCAAGCCUGAUCCAGCCAUACCGCGUGGGUGAAGAAGGCCUUCGGGUUGUAAGGCCCUUUUGUUGGGAAAGAAAUCCAGCUGGUUAAUACCCGGUUGGGAUGACGGUACCCAAAGAAUAAGCACCGGCUAACUUCGUGCCAGCCGCCGCCGUAA
Molecule: ribosomal RNA, 506 nt
Filed under: uncultured bacterium
Lineage: Bacteria
Description: partial 16S ribosomal RNA
Rfam family: Bacterial small subunit ribosomal RNA
Source: RNAcentral